Non-coding RNA from Lepisosteus oculatus (spotted gar), 169 nucleotides. The record is from RefSeq and is a predicted model, not a curated record. Lineage: Eukaryota; Metazoa; Chordata; Actinopteri; Semionotiformes; Lepisosteidae.
CUGGAUUCCCAACUCUGAACACGACAAGAUCAUCCCUCCAGAAAGGAAAAAUACAGCCUGGGACCAUGGCAUCAUGUGCAAGUCCAGAUCUUGGAAGCCAGUGACCGAGUGGGGGGGCGCAUUCUCACCUAAAGGAAUGAGAGCAGGGGCUGGCACGCAGAGCUGGGUG